UCGGACCGGUCCAGAGACCGCCUCCAGUUUGCCCUCCGUCAAGGGCGUGUGCUCCGCGUGACCUCACUCGGCCCAUCCAGCCUCGGCCAAACUUGCCAGCCUCCGCAGCGUGAGGGAGGUACUGGCUCCAAGAGCAACUACGUCGUGGUUCUUUUCUGUGUGUGAGCCCCUGGUGGGCAGUCGAGGCAGUGGUGGUGCCCUGAGCCAGGACUGGCGUCGCGCCUGCAGACCUGGGCAGUGAGUGCUGGGCUCCACCGGCCCCAGCUCCGGGAAGCCUGGGGAAGGGAGAAGGGAGAAGUCUGACCUGGGGCCCCGGGACAGAAAAGCAGGUGGUCCAGGGGUGCUCAGAUCCACAAGAGCACACCUCGGAGACCAUUCGGCUCCUCUGCUGGUGACUUACAAACCCACAUGGAGCUGACACUUGGAUGCCUGUGUCCUGGGGAGUCCAGGCUGGAAGCUCUUACCCAUCACUGUACAGGGAGCUGAGAUGCUGGGCGCUGGCACACCCACCUUUACUGACGGAAGUACACCCUGCCACCAGCUCUGCAGAGGACACCCUGGCAACGACUACUCAGAUGACAGACCUGUGAACUCACAAUGCAACCUGGGGGAGCUAGCCUGCAGGCUAUACCCGCACACCUACAAAAUGGGAUGUGAGCUUGCUCACGCAGUGUGGUGAACGCCUCAAAACAACUCAUGCUCUUCUAGGCUUUGUUACAUGCACUUAACAGACCCUCACACCACAGACUCCUAUGAAGAAGGAGCUGAACAGUUUCUUUCUCAACUGAGAUGGAAAGAUCUCUGGGGGAUGGCACUGAGAGAAAAGCGAGCUCCCAAGCAGGACGCUCAGUCUGGAGGCCGUUUCACGUGCGUGCAGAUCUGCCUGGAUCUGAGAUGCUCCGGGUGGGUACCUGAGGACACAGGACCAGUAGUCGGUGGGGGCAGAGAGCUAGGCCCCUGGAGGACAAGGACUCGGAGAACUUUCCUUGGAAAGGGACUUAAAUGCCCUGAAUUUUGAAACAUACAAUGUGUUUACCUAAAAAUUAAAAACACAAAUCCAAACACAAAGCAAACUCAAAUGGCAGCCGCAAAUUCUACCUUUCUACAAGUUCCCAGGGCAGGACUGGGACUCUACCCAGACUCCACAGCCCCGCUCACACUGCAAACGGCUGGAUGGAGGCCUCUCCCUGAUAAACAGUGUGACAGACCUGGUAUGGCUUAAAAGACAGCAGAGACGCAUUCCAACAGCAGCAGACCCGGGGCUGUAAUCAUGCCUGGAGGCCCCCCAGGUUCCUGCCAUAAAAGUCGCUCUGUCCAUUCUCCUACGAUGGACCAUUUAGCACCAGCCUGGGUGGAUCCGGCAGGCACCGGCUGCCACCCAUCCUCCUCCUGCAACCCAGGAGAGUUCAUCCCACUGCAAGGAUGAAUACCCCAAGUUCAAGGCAGGAGAAUGGGAGUCCUCUGCCAGGGCCAGGAAAGAGGGAGGGACUGGGUGUCCUGUGCAGGCUCCUGGAAAAGGCUUUCCUCCUGGACCAAAAAAGACAGGAUGAGGGCAGGGCGUAUGCGGGAUGGGGGAGCAGGAAUGGCAUGGAAAAGCCUCUGAGGCUCGGAGGUGGGGGAGACCUUGGGGUGACGAUAGUCACCAGUAGCUGCAAAGAAGUCCUUGGCGACUCCCAGGGGGGCCAGACUACUCCUUGAUACAGAUGAGUCCUUGGCCAAGCUGGGGCCCCACACUACCCCCGCCCCAAAAAAGCCAGCUCUACGUGGUCAGCAGGGCCACCAGGGCCCCAGAGAAAGGGCCUGGCCCAGGGGGCGGGGCACGCCACCCCCUGUUCUCAGGCAGAGGCUAUGCAAGCACUCUGGCCCUACUUCCUCUUCCUGUGUCCCCUCCCCCAGCCCUCAGGUUCCUCCCCCUGUGCCUCCCAGGCAGGGAACCAGUCCCUAUGGUGCAUGGGCGUGGUGCGCUAUUCAGGACUGCACCCACCCCAAGAGGCAGGUGGGUGCAGUAUGAACCAUCUGUAAGAUGGGACCUGAGGUCAAAUGUCAGAAUGGCCUCACCCAGCUCACACGAGGGGAUGGCAUGUCAGGAUUUCCCCCCUCCCCACCAUGGAUCAGGCUCUACUAUGGCCAGCCGCCCACGCUGACCCUGGCCACUAACAUCUGGGGUGACAGCAGGAGAGGAACCCUGGAAGCUACCGCCCAUCAUCCAGACAGCCUGGGGAGCCACACCUGCCCCAGUGCAGUCACAAGGCCCCCCUCAGCUCCUCAGGGUAGGGCUGGCAGACCCCCAAUCCCAGGCAAGGGCGUCCCUGUCGGCGCCCACCAUGCAGAAGGAGCCAGGCCGCUCUCUUCCCUGAGAGGCUGGCCUGUCUGUCUUCAAGGCCUAAGCGCCCAGAGGUUGCACCCUCAAAAAACCUGAGCCCAGGCUCUGCCUCCAGGCCUGGUGCCUACAGCCAGCCUAUUCCAGGGACAAGAAGUAGGCCAUUUCCCUUAGAGGAAAAAAGUCACGAGGCUCGAACAGAACAAAGUCAAACGGUGGACUUUUCAGAGCUGAUUUCAUAAAACAAGUAAAUCAGAAUAAAAACAAGUAAGCCAUUUA
Molecule: long non-coding RNA, 2599 nt
Organism: Odocoileus virginianus texanus
Lineage: Eukaryota; Metazoa; Chordata; Mammalia; Artiodactyla; Cervidae
Source: RefSeq, a predicted model, not a curated record